RNAcentral lists this ribosomal RNA (497 nucleotides) under uncultured bacterium. RNAcentral's name for it is "partial 16S ribosomal RNA". It matches the Rfam family "Bacterial small subunit ribosomal RNA", at positions 28 to 523 of the family's 1533-position model. The record is from RNAcentral.
GAUGAACGCUGGCGGCGUGCUUAACACAUGCAAGUCGAACGAAGCAUUUGCGACAGAUUUCUUCGGAUUGAAGUUGCUUAUGACUGAGUGGCGGACGGGUGAGUAACGCGUGGGUAACCUGCCUCAUACAGGGGGAUAGCAGCUGGAAACGGCUGGUAAUACCGCAUAAGCGCCCAGUACCACAGGGUACAGUGUGAAAAACUCCGGUGGUAUGAGAUGGACCCGCGUCUGAUUAGCUAGUUGGUGAGGUAACGGCCAACCAAGGCGACGAUCAGUAGCCGACCUGAGAGGGUGACCGGCCACAUUGGGACUGAGACACGGCCCAGACUCCUACGGGAGGCAGCAGUGGGGAAUAUUGCACGAUGGAGGAAACUCUGAUGCAGCGACGCCGCGUGAGUGAAGAAGUAGUUCGCUAUGUAAAGCUCUAUCAGCAGGGAAGAUAGUGACGGUACCUGACUAAGAAGCUCCGGCUAAAUACGUGCCAGCCGCCGCCGUAA